RNAcentral lists this signal recognition particle RNA (104 nucleotides) under bovine gut metagenome. RNAcentral's name for it is "Bacteroidales small SRP". It matches the Rfam family "Bacteroidales small SRP". From Rfam's summary of the family: The non-coding component of the signal recognition particle in Bacteroides The record is from RNAcentral.
AAACGGGCGAGUGCUGUACGGCCAGCUCCCUUCGAAUCCCCCAGGGCUUGACCGCAGCAAGGGUAGUUUGGUUGUAGCGGCGCGAUGCAGUUAGCUUGCCCACC